This 130-nucleotide ribosomal RNA is filed under the name Glossina brevipalpis. RNAcentral describes it as "eukaryotic small subunit ribosomal RNA". The record is from RNAcentral. Lineage: Eukaryota; Metazoa; Arthropoda; Insecta; Diptera; Glossinidae.
CUCGUCGCACCUACCGAUUUAAUUAUUUAGUCAGGUGUCCGGACGUGAUCACUGUAAAGCAUUUUAUGUGUUGCGGAUGCUUCGCAAAAGUUGACCGAACUUGUUUAUUUAGAGGAAGUAAAAGUUGUAA